AUCGCUUCUCGGCCUUUUGGCUAAGAUCAAAGUGUAGUAUCUGAUCUAUUCAGCUUAAUAUCUGAAAAUUCCUGCACUAUGUAACCAGUAUAUUAAACUGAUUUAUAUACUACGACGGGAUGUUCGAGGCUCGUUCCACUCCCGUCACGGGUCGGCUAAAUGUAUACUAAAUAACAUUAUACAUUUUAAGCCUCUGUUG
Vanessa atalanta (red admiral) is the source of this 199-nucleotide small nuclear RNA. RefSeq annotates it as U2 spliceosomal RNA. The record is from RefSeq and is a predicted model, not a curated record. The transcript has a single exon. Lineage: Eukaryota; Metazoa; Arthropoda; Insecta; Lepidoptera; Nymphalidae.